UACGGGGGGGGCAAGCGUUGUUCGGAAUUACUGGGCAUAAAGGGCUCGUAGGCGGCCAACUAAGUCGGAUGUGAAAUCCCCAGGCUUAACCUGGGAACUGCAUCUGAUACUGGAUGGCUUGAAUCCGGGAGAGGGAUGCAGAAUUCCAGGUGUAGCGGUGAAAUGCGUAGAUAUCUGGAGGAAUACCGGUGGCGAAGGCGGCAUCCUGGACCGGCAUUGACGCUGAUGAGCGAAAGCUAGGGGAGCAAACGGG
Molecule: ribosomal RNA, 253 nt
Filed under: uncultured bacterium
Lineage: Bacteria
Description: partial 16S ribosomal RNA
Rfam family: Bacterial small subunit ribosomal RNA
Source: RNAcentral